CGGGACACGUGGUAUCCUGUCUGAAUAUGGGGGGACCAUCCUCCAAGGCUAAAUACUCCUGACUGACCGAUAGUGAACCAGUACCGUGAGGGAAAGGCGAAAAGAACCCCGGCGAGGGGAGUGAAAAAGAACCUGAAACCGUGUACGUACAAGCAGUGGGAGCACGCUUAGGCGUGUGACUGCGUACCUUUUGUAUAAUGGGUCAGCGACUUAUAUUCUGUAGCAAGGUUAACCGAAUAGGGGAGCCGAAGGGAAACCGAGUCUUAACUGGGCGUUAAGUUGCAGGGUAUAGACCCGAAACCCGGUGAUCUAGCCAUGGGCAGGUUGAAGGUUGGGUAACACUAACUGGAGGACCGAACCGACUAAUGUUGAAAAAUUAGCGGAUGACUUGUGGCUGGGGGUGAAAGGCCAAUCAAACCGGGAGAUAGCUGGUUCUCCCCGAAAGCUAUUUAGGUAGCGCCUCGUGAAUUCAUCUCCGGGGGUAGAGCACUGUUUCGGCAAGGGGGUCAUCCCGACUUACCAACCCGAUGCAAACUGCGAAUACCGGAGAAUGUUAUCACGGGAGACACACGGCGGGUGCUAACGUCCGUCGUGAAGAGGGAAACAACCCAGACCGCCAGCUAAGGUCCCAAAGUCAUGGUUAAGUGGGAAACGAUGUGGGAAGGCCCAGACAGCCAGGAUGUUGGCUUAGAAGCAGCCAUCAUUUAAAGAAAGCGUAAUAGCUCACUGGUCGAGUCGGCCUGCGCGGAAGAUGUAACGGGGCUAAACCAUGCACCGAAGCUGCGGCAGCGACGCUGAUGCGUUGUUGGGUAGGGGAGCGUUCUGUAAGCCUGUGAAGGUGUGCUGUGAGGCAUGCUGGAGGUAUCAGAAGUGCGAAUGCUGACAUAAGUAACGAUAAAGCGGGUGAAAAGCCCGCUCGCCGGAAGACCAAGGGUUCCUGUCCAACGUUAAUCGGGGCAGGGUGAGUCGACCCCUAAGGCGAGGCCGAAAGGCGUAGUCGAUGGGAAACAGGUUAAUAUUCCUGUACUUGGUGUUACUGCGAAGGGGGGACGGAGAAGGCUAUGUUGGCCGGGCGACGGUUGUCCCGGUUUAAGCGUGUAGGCUGGUUUUCCAGGCAAAUCCGGAAAAUCAAGGCUGAGGCGUGAUGACGAGGCACUACGGUGCUGAAGCAACAAAUGCCCUGCUUCCAGGAAAAGCCUCUAAGCAUCAGGUAACAUCAAAUCGUACCCCAAACCGACACAGGUGGUCAGGUAGAGAAUACCAAGGCGCUUGAGAGAACUCGGGUGAAGGAACUAGGCAAAAUGGUGCCGUAACUUCGGGAGAAGGCACGCUGAUAUGUAGGUGAAGCGACUUGCUCGUGGAGCUGAAAUCAGUCGAAGAUACCAGCUGGCUGCAACUGUUUAUUAAAAACACAGCACUGUGCAAACACGAAAGUGGACGUAUACGGUGUGACGCCUGCCCGGUGCCGGAAGGUUAAUUGAUGGGGUCAGCGCAAGCGAAGCUCUUGAUCGAAGCCCCGGUAAACGGCGGCCGUAACUAUAACGGUCCUAAGGUAGCGAAAUUCCUUGUCGGGUAAGUUCCGACCUGCACGAAUGGCGUAAUGAUGGCCAGGCUGUCUCCACCCGAGACUCAGUGAAAUUG
RNAcentral lists this ribosomal RNA (1641 nucleotides) under Escherichia coli. RNAcentral's name for it is "partial 23S ribosomal RNA". It matches the Rfam family "Bacterial large subunit ribosomal RNA", at positions 418 to 2044 of the family's 2925-position model. Lineage: Bacteria; Pseudomonadati; Pseudomonadota; Gammaproteobacteria; Enterobacterales; Enterobacteriaceae. The record is from RNAcentral.